UUGCCAGGUGCUUCUUUUUUCGGCAACCUUCAACGAAACUGUCAAAGCAUUUGUGUCAAAGGUGAUUACAGAGGGCAACCAAAUAUUUGUGAAAAAAGAAGAUCUCUCGUUGGACAAAGUAAAGCAAUACAAGGUUUUCUGUCCGGAUGAACUUGCCAAACUUGAGGUUAUAAAGACCAAGAUUUUUGAAUUCGGAGAGAAAGUGGGACAGACCAUAAUAUUUGUUCGCACAAGAAACAGCGCCAGCAUGUUACAUAAGACACUAAAAAAUGAAGGUUAUGAGUGUACAUCUAUACAAGGUACUCUCAGGCAAGAGGACAGGGAACAAGUUAUAAGGG
This 338-nucleotide unclassified non-coding RNA is filed under the name Hevea brasiliensis (rubber tree). Lineage: Eukaryota; Viridiplantae; Streptophyta; Magnoliopsida; Malpighiales; Euphorbiaceae. The record is from RNAcentral.